AUUGGGAGGCCCAAUUAUUAUUAGAAGGGUAGUGGGGCCCACCUCUGGGAUCAUCAAGAGAGAAAGCUCCUCAGUGGUCGGAGAAGGCGAUCAAUUAUUAUCACACGAUGGCUUCCUGUCCUGUCCUGUCUCUCACAAACAAAACAAUGGUCAGUGUUUUUUCUCUCCAUCUCUUUCUAAAAAUCAUUGUUUGUCCUUUUAUCUAAUUGAUUUCCAUGAGUAAUAAUCUCCAACAACCAGUAAUUCCUGAGUCUGAGUUUCUUUUUUAUUUGAAUUUCUGAGACUUGGAUGAUGACUUUAGGGGAUUAAAAAAAAAAACGGAAUCGUGGAUGUAUCUAGAAGAUACCUUUGCCUUUUAUGAAGACUACUUGGUGAUUAUUAUAUUUGUACAGAGUCUUUUGAUUGUGGAGCACUACUACUUCUGUGAAAACGGUUCUUUGUCUUAGGAUCCAUUCCAGAUAGAUUCCUUACGCUUUUUUGCUUGUUCCCCCUGUGGUAUGAACUUUCUUCUUCGGAAAGCACCUCAAAAAAGCUCACUCAACUUGAUUCGCCAUUAUAUAUAACAAAAUUCUGAUUCCUUCUCUUUUACUUAAUAAUGCCUGCUUAGUGGUCUGAAGAAUCUUAUUUUAUAAUCUCUCAAUUGAUAGCUUAGUGUGGUGUUUUCUUCAUACAUCAUGCUACUUUUCAUGUAUUCCAUAAUCCAGAAAAAUUGUGGAAACAGAGAGAGGUAAUUUUCUUUGUUUCGUAAUAUAUUCUUUUUAAAAAGACUGUCUAGUCUAGUGUUCAGGAUAAAAUCUAAGAGAGCAUCAGAUACUAGCUCUGGAUCAAGCAUAGUGUUUGGAAAUUUAAACAACUUGUACCACACUUAUGUUAAGUCUCAAUUCAAAGAUCUUUCCUUUUUAACUCUUCUUUGUUUGCCUUUCAGUUAUCCCACUUUAGUGAUCAGGCUUCAUAUUCUUCAUCCCCACAGGUUCCUUAUUCUGUUUUAAAUCUUUUGGAUUUCAGCACUGCGUUUAAUUACAGUGUUUUUCUACCUAUUAAUCAGAGACUCAAGUCUCCGUUUGUUCAUAUAUAUAGUCAGAACAUGAAUAUGAAACAAAAAAAAACCUUCUUCAUAGAUUAAACUUAGGAAAUUAUUACAAAAAAAACAUCAUCUUAACACACAAAAGCUUACUAUUAUUACUACUACAAUCUUAUUUUGCUCCAAUAAUAACUUCCAGUACUCUAGAAACUUUUACAGAAUCAAUCUUCUUCGGUUCACUUCUCUUUUAAUCUCCCAGAGCAUAAAGUGAAUUUCCCAGUCUAGUUCAGAAGCAUCUGGUCGAAGUGCCAAACUCCUGCAAAAGACACAUAAAAAUUUAGUAAGCUUUUCUAAAAAACUUACUACUGAAAUUCUAGUCCUAGUGAAAAUCAAACUGAAUAUAGGGGCUGUUUAGAUCAAACAGCGUACCGUGUCCUUUGCCAACCAUCCUUAGCUGGGUGAUGAAGUCUGAGAUCUUCUUGAUUGCUUCAAUCUAAGGGGGGGGGGGGAGAAAAAAAAGGGUUUUAAAAAGUGGGUACUAGUUUCAAGUCACUAGUUAAGAAAACAAACAAAAGAAAGCUCACCUGCUCUCCAAGAAACUCACUCUCAACAAAAUCAGCUAACUGUGGGUCAUUGUUCUCUGAUGCCACCUGUUUUUUUUAAAUUAUUUUAAGAUUAGUGACUGCCCUAUUUGAUUGACCUUAGAUGGAUAAGUUUUGGGAACAUACUCUGUGAAGGUUUAGAAGCUUCUCGUUGGUCAGUUUCUCCAGAGACAGGGCCAACUCCAUUGCUGAAAAUAAUAUAAGAUUAGUAUAAAGAUCAUUUCAAAAUCUGUGUAUACACUUAAUCAAGAAUGAUAUUUUUUUUCUUUUUUGUAUAAAUAUAGAAAAAUAUAUAUACCAUAUAAGGCAUCUCCUUUUUCAGCAUGUUCAAAAUCAGAGAUAGGGGAGACGAUAGGGUGGAGUGUCACUCUUCCUCCUCUUUUGUUCUAUACACAUAUACAUAAACCAUAUAUAUUAACAUCAAUCACUAUUCUUUCAACAUCUAGAAGAAGAAGAAGAAAAAAAGGGAGGGAAACCUGGUACUCCAUAAACUUCUCAGCGUGCUCUCUUUCUUCAUCACUUGAUUCCUUGAAAAAUCUGAAACCAAGUUUAUCAUAUUAUUAAAUUUUUGCUUUAGUUAGAUUAAGAUUGAAAGGCAGUAGUAGUAGUAGUAGUAAGAAAAAGUUACUUGGCAAGACCCUUGAGAGCAACGUUGUCUCUGUCGAAGUAGGCGUACAUUGAAUGGUAAACAUACGACACGUUGUAUUCCACACUGUCCAAAUAUCAACCUCUGUUAAUAUCUAAUCUUGUCGUAACAACAUUUAAACAGGAAAAGAAGAAAGGAUGCUUACUUGAUUUGCUCGUUAAUGGCAGCCUCGCAAGAGUCGGCAUACCUCUGGCGAGCGAGGGAGGCAUUAGAUGUGAUUGGAAUGGCCAGAUCGGCUUUCUUCACCUCCUCGAACGGCUGGAACACCACUCCUGUCAUCGGCAUAUUGUUUGUGUCUACCGUUGAGGACGCAAC
Molecule: long non-coding RNA, 2584 nt
Filed under: Brassica rapa (field mustard)
Lineage: Eukaryota; Viridiplantae; Streptophyta; Magnoliopsida; Brassicales; Brassicaceae
Description: long non-coding RNA (BRAP_LNC001667)
Source: RNAcentral